UGGCGGCGUGGAUAAGACAUGCAAGUCGAACGAGAGAAUUGCUAGCUUGCUAAUAAUUCUCUAGUGGCGCACGGGUGAGUAACACGUGAGUAACCUGCCCCCGAGAGCGGGAUAGCCCUGGGAAACUGGGAUUAAUACCGCAUAGUAUCGAAAGAUUAAAGCAGCAAUGCGCUUGGGGAUGGGCUCGCGGCCUAUUAGUUAGUUGGUGAGGUAACGGCUCACCAAGGCGAUGACGGGUAGCCGGUCUGAGAGGAUGUCCGGCCACACUGGAACUGAGACACGGUCCAGACACCUACGGGUGGCAGCAGUCGAGAAUCAUUCACAAUGGGGGAAACCCUGAUGGUGCGACGCCGCGUGGGGGAAUGAAGGUCUUCGGAUUGUAAACCCCUGUCAUGUGGGAGCAAAUUAAAAAGAUAGUACCACAAGAGGAAGAGACGGCUAACUCUGUGCCAGCAGCCGCGGUAAUACAGAGGUCUCAAGCGUUGUUCGGAAUCACUGGGCGUAAAGCGUGCGUAGGCUGUUUCGUAAGUCGUGUGUGAAAGGCGCGGGCUCAACCCGCGGACGGCACAUGAUACUGCGAGACUAGAGUAAUGGAGGGGGAACCGGAAUUCUCGGUGUAGCAGUGAAAUGCGUAGAUAUCGAGAGGAACACUCGUGGCGAAGGCGGGUUCCUGGACAUUAACUGACGCUGAGGCACGAAGGCCAGGGGAGCGAAAGGGAUUAGAUACCCCUGUAGUCCUGGCAGUAAACGGUGCACGCUUGGUGUGCGGGGAAUCGACCCCCUGCGUGCCGGAGCUAACGCGUUAAGCGUGCCGCCUGGGGAGUACGGUCGCAAGAUUAAAACUCAAAGAAAUUGACGGGGACCCGCACAAGCGGUGGAGUAUGUGGCUUAAUUCGAUGCAACGCGAAGAACCUUACCUGGGCUUGACAUGUAAUGAACAACAUGUGAAAGCAUGCGACUCUUCGGAGGCGUUACACAGGUGCUGCAUGGCCGUCGUCAGCUCGUGUCGUGAGAUGUUUGGUUAAGUCCAGCAACGAGCGCAACCCCUGUUGCCAGUUACCAGCACGUGAAGGUGGGGACUCUGGCGAGACUGCCCAGAUCAACUGGGAGGAAGGUGGGGACGACGUCAGGUCAGUAUGGCCCUUAUGCCCAGGGCUGCACACGUACUACAAUGCCCAGUACAGAGGGGGCCGAAGCCGCGAGGCGGAGGAAAUCCUAAAAACUGGGCCCAGUUCGGACUGUAGGCUGCAACCCGCCUACACGAAGCCGGAAUCGCUAGUAAUGGCGCAUCAGCUACGGCGCCGUGAAUACGUUCCCGGGUCUUGUACACACCGCCCGUCACAUCAUGGAAGCCGGUCGCACCCGAAGUAUCUGAAGCCAACCGCAAGGAGGCAGGGUCCUAAGGUGAGACUGGUAACUGG
RNAcentral lists this ribosomal RNA (1421 nucleotides) under uncultured organism. RNAcentral describes it as "16S ribosomal RNA". It matches the Rfam family "Bacterial small subunit ribosomal RNA". The record is from RNAcentral.